GCCUCACAGCGCCCAGGAGAAGGCUGCGUAACCAUCCGCUGCCCAACUCACAAAGAGUCCUGCGGUAGUUCUUCUACCAAGGCGGGCGGGCAAGUGGCCAAGUACCGUGAUGUUGACCAACAUUCAGCGCCGGCCCAAUCGUCCCUCCCUGGUGCCGUAGCCCGGAUUCAUCUCCCCUCCCCCUAGCCCUCAAGCACCCCAGUGACGUCAUUGCUCGGGCGGGCUGUCAGCGCGCGGACGGAGCUGUCAAUCAACACAAGUUGUGCAAGAAGUGGAAGCUGGAGAUGCUGCUCUGUUCGGAUCGCUACCACCACACCACAGUGGCAGCAACGACAUCACUUAAAGCCGAUCAAUCACAACAAAACUGUUACUUUUAAUAUAUGUGCAGGGCAGAUUCUAUUUUAAUGCAUUAGGCUCUCUCUUACCACCCUAAUGAUCAAAAAGAGCGCGUCAAGGUGACGUACCGGGAAGGGGAGGCGUAGAAGUCGUUGAAAACCCCCCUGAGAAAAAUCUUCAUUUUCAAAAUCUAUUUUAAUCUUUCACAACUUUAUUUGAGCCAGGCUAUGUCAACAUUAGUUAUCUGGAAGCAAAAAUAAAAUUGCGGAAGUUUUGACUCAAUCCCAACGUCAUCGUCCUGGAAAUCUAAGGGACAAGGUAAAAGCUCCCCACAAACACCAAUCACGAAAUUUGGUAAUCCACAUCAAACACGAAACGGUGCUGGAAAGCAUGUCGCUGCUUUUUCUAAACCUCCACUCAACUUGAUUUACUCGUUUGCUUUUUGUGAAAUACAUUUCCAUUUGGCACAAGAUUCAGCGAUCGUCCACAUGCUUGUAUGUGGCACGUCAGAUUUAUAAAUAGGGGUAAACAGAAUAGUACGAUAUAUGGCAAGAAAAUAGUUUAUUUCUUAAAGCUCAACAAAUUUCAUUUAAAACAAUAGCGGUCGUAACAAGAUAACUAGAACUUUUCAAAAUGAUAGCAGUAUUUAAUUACAUAUAUAUAGAGAAAGAGAAACGCGCUUGUGGGAGUUACUAAAUAUUGCUUGUCACUAUGAGGGGGUUAAUGUCACUUUGAUGGGUAAAUUAGAGAUCCAUUUUAAAUUUCGGGCCUAAGCAAGAAAUUAAUCUGCAAGACUGUUAACUGGGUUAUAGCUUUAACAACAUGUCUAAAGAAGUGAAAAAUAAUUAUUUAAAUUCCUAUCCUGGUAUGAAAGGUUAUCAGUUACUCAUUAUAUAACCUUCCGAAAAAAAUGCCUACCAUACAUCGAUACAGGAUGCCUGUCUCUUUAGAUCUUUGCAUAUCAAAUAGCUAAACUAGGGAAGCUGGAAACAAAUAUAAGAAGGGCAAAUGACAUAUGCAUUUGCCACUGACUGACCUG
Stegostoma tigrinum is the source of this 1375-nucleotide long non-coding RNA. RefSeq lists it as uncharacterized. The record is from RefSeq and is a predicted model, not a curated record. Lineage: Eukaryota; Metazoa; Chordata; Chondrichthyes; Orectolobiformes; Stegostomatidae. The transcript has 2 exons.